GCAAUGGGCGAAAGCCUGACGGAGCGACGCCGCGUGAGCGAGGAAGGCCUUCGGGUCGUAAAGCUCUGUUCUGGGGGAAGAAGAGAUGACGGUACCCCAGGAGGAAGCCCCGGCUAACUACGUGCCAGCAGCCGCGGUAAUACGUAGGGGGCGAGCGUUGUCCGGAAUUAUUGGGCGUAAAGGGCGUGUAGGCGGCCUGGCAAGUCGGCUGUGAAAUCCCCCGGCUCAACCGGGGAGUGGCAGUCGAAACUGUUGGGCUUGAGUGCAGGAGAGGAGGGUGGAAUUCCUGGUGUAGCGGUGAAAUGCGUAGAUAUCAUGAGGAACACCGGUGGCGAAAGCGACCUUCUGGCCUGUUACUGACGCUGAGGCGCGAAAGCCAGGGGAGCGAACA
RNAcentral lists this ribosomal RNA (391 nucleotides) under Firmicutes bacterium enrichment culture. Its description in RNAcentral is "bacterial SSU rRNA". It matches the Rfam family "Bacterial small subunit ribosomal RNA", at positions 368 to 774 of the family's 1533-position model. The record is from RNAcentral. Lineage: Bacteria; Bacillati; Bacillota.